Molecule: RNA transcript, 894 nt
Organism: Ipomoea triloba (trilobed morning glory)
Lineage: Eukaryota; Viridiplantae; Streptophyta; Magnoliopsida; Solanales; Convolvulaceae
Gene name: induced stolen tip protein TUB8-like
Exons: 3
Source: RefSeq, a predicted model, not a curated record
GGUCAUUUCUUCUCAUCAGCCAAAGAAACUCACAAGCAAUCAAGUUGCAUUGCCACCUUUCCUUGCUUGCCCCCAUUGCACUAUUCUUUUCCCAUCUCCUUCAAACCUUCCAAUGGCCACUGUUGAGGUUGAAUCAUCUCCGGCAACAAUCGUAGAGAAUGUCACGCCGGAAGUUGAGGUGAAGCCAGCGCCGGAGGAACCAACGGCGGCGGCGGCGGAGCCUGAGGCGGUUGUGCAAGAAGCAGAGCCGGAAGUUACAAAGCCCGAGGAGGAGAAGCCAGCAGCCGAAGAAGAAGCCGAGGCGCCGGCUGCCGAAGUCGCCGUCGAGACUAAGGAAGCGGAACCCGAAGCGCCGGCGCUGGAGCCGGCUGAAGAGAAGGCGGAGGAGCCGGCUGCAGCCGCCGUACUUGAAGAAGCGGCUGAGGUAAAAGAGCCAGUAGCCGCCGAGGAGGAAACUCCGGCGGCUGAAACCAAGACCGAGGAAGCUGCAGCUCCGGCUCCACCGGCUGAAGCCGUCACAGAGGAGACCGUAGCCGCCGAGGCUGCGGCGGAGGAACCCGCCGCCGCCGCCGCCGCUGAAGUUACAGAUGAGAAAGCUGCAGAGUAAAUUGAUGGUGGAUGGUUGUGCUGAGGUCUUUUUAGACUUUGCAUGUCUUAGAGUUAAGGUUGGGUUAAGUUCUAUUUAUAUUUGCUGCUAUUAUGCUUUAUUUUUAUUAUUAUCAUCUUUAUAUUAUUAUAAUUAUGUUAUGAAUUAUAGUGGAGGAGAAUUUGUAAUGUCUGUCAUCACUUGGGUCACUAUCAGAUGAGGUUUGCUGUGGUUUGAUGAGAUGAGAUGUGGUAUGGUCCCUUUGGAGCUUUGGCAAAUAAUAAAUUUUAUUAGUUUAUGUUUCCUUA